CCUCCCCCACCCUGCUGGCUACUCCCUCCCUCCCCACCCCUCCGUUUUUUGUCCCUGCAUGGAAGUCAUCGAUACUGAAGUGGUCGGAGGAUGGGAUAUGUCAUGGAAAGUUCGGGCAACUUCACGGAACAGUAAUGAUGGCGGCAGAGGGUUCCCUUCUGGGGUGGAGAGCAGGGGAUGGAGGGAGGGGAUGGGGGGGGAUGGUAACCUGAGGUGGGGCCAAAGCUGGGUGAAGCCAGUGGUCCUACAGAACAUCCACACACUCACCUCCUGCAGUAGAAGGAAAGGGGGGAUUUAAAACUUUUUUCCUUUUGUUUAAAAAAAAAACACAAGGAAGUAUGAAUGCAGAGUAUACUGACUGAAGCAAUUUAUAGCUAAAGCGUCUCUGAUAGAAAGGCCCCGUUUGUGUUACUUUACCCUCAGAUGUAAACUCCAGAUUAAGAAGAAAGCUCAGAAUGCACCUUCGCCUCAAAGGGGAGACUUGACACCCACAAAGCCAGAGGGGUGGUGUUGCACCUUGGGGAAGGGGGAGGUGGGAGGUGACACUGUCGCAGGACCUCUGCCUCCGCCAGAUCUCAGCGUGCCCUUCCCAGUAAGGGCCACCACCUGCCACCCAGGUUUUGUGUCGUUAUUUCCCCUCUGUAGUUUCAACUUUAUUUUCUUUUCCAAAAUGGGAAAAGUUUUUUUUAAUUGGCAAAGUUAGCUCUCUCUGGUUUUUAAACCACAGGGCAAGUUUGGGGCUAGUCCCUCUGGGGUGACAGCUAGCCCCAGCUUGAAGGGGAAGGCAUCACACACUUGCAGGCCACUGCUUCCUCUUCCUCCCUCCUCUGCCCUGGGACAGCUGCCUUACGAUGACAGAAGGGAAGAAUAUUCCCUAUGGAAGCUUGCCUGGAGGCCUGCGGUUGGAGGCUCUCACCAAGAGCCACGAGUGCAGUGAUUUUUUACCCACUUGCCACAGGGGUGAGAAGACACUGAGAUGCACCACACCAGGCUGGCAGAAGACUGAACGGGGACUGAAGAUAUAAAAGGAGACCAAAGCAAGCUGGGCCUGGCUCCUGACUCAGCAGAGAAAGCAGAAAGUGCUGCCUCUGGAUGCCCAUGGGGCAGGAAGCCCCAAGGUGAGUCCCUAAGAAGCUAUAGCCCCAGAUGAAUAAACAGCCAAGGAGAGAGCAGGCUAAAGGGAAAAAUGAAAACAAAAAGUACAGAGGCUUAUAGCAAGCGAAUGGCUUAUUUGCGAAUGUGCCGGUAGACAAGGGGAUGCGGAGGUCUGAAUAUAGAAGAUUAAACUUGCGGAUAACACUUGGCUCUUCUCACACAUAGAGAUAGGUACCAAGCAGAGGUAUUCAAAAGGCAGUUAUUAUCUUGGUCAAAAGGCGGUAUUAUCUUGGUCAAACAUACACCUUUCUCUUCUGGGCUCAGGAAAAUGAGAAGAGCUCAGACUGGAUUCCUGGUUUACACAGGCAGUGAAUCCCCCCACCCCCUACCAAGGAACAAACUAACCUGUUCUGUUUCGGGGUGAAAGGGUGGGGUGGAAACAGAGGCACAGUGGGAGACAGAGAGAAAGCUCUUCCAGCUUCUUUCUCCUCUGGAGGGAUGUGGAUCCAAUGCAACUUUGGGCAGGCCUACCUACUCAGCGGUAGGGAGAAGGAGGCUUUUGGCUGUGGCUCUUUUUAGCUGGGUGAGCUCCCUAGAGAAUAGCCCAGCCAGAGGAAGUUGCCUGGAGACAGAUGUAGCACACCCAAGGAAGGAUGCUGUCCAUGGAUGCCUAGCUUCCCCGGCUUUAGAAAGCAAGAGAAUUCUGUGUUGUUCCCGCUCCUGGCAACCUCUCCUUUCCUGUGUGUGCAGAGGCCCAGAGCCUGAGAGUUGGCCUGCAGGGAACUGCACAAUCAGAGCUCAUCUGGGGCGUGUAUCAACCCUCCCCGCUCAGUCAUCUCCCACCAAAUGACACUAAAAUCACUGUGGAGAAGGCUGCAUUAGAAUACAGACUAAAAAACCCAAGUCCUGCUUUAUUAUGCACUUGCUCAUCACAAUGCCUGAAUCCCAGCUCGAAGUCACCUUGCAAAUGCUGCCCAGCCAGGGGCUGAAGACGCAGCUGCUUGGUACCCACCAGAGGGUGCAGUGGGCAGGCAGGAAGCGCCCAGUUCUGGGUUGGUCCCUUCUCCAGGGGCAGGGUGUCUGCACCCUUAAGUGCUGGGACCCAAAGGAGAGAUGGGAGAAAUCUCUCCGAGCUCCACAGGCUACACCUGCCUCUGUCUCUCUCUGUGGCACAACCAUGCUCCAGGGCAUGUUCAAGUCCUCGAACAAGGCAUCCGCACAUAUGUGCAUCUCUGGGAAGACUCAAAAAAAACCAACGGCUCUGGCUGCUCAGGAGCUAAUGGGGACAGACACUUGGUACACACUUGUCAGUACUUGUUCCUGCCAUUGGGCAGUGGAUGGGCGUUGGGGACGAAGUAAUUGUCUUCUUUGGGGGACUCAGUAUAACCCCUGGUAUGGAACACAGGCUGGCUCCAUGGUAAAGGGGUUAUCUGAAGAACCCCUCUUCCUCUAUGCUGUGAGUGGCAGGGAGAGAGCAUGGAGCCACGCCCUUGAAGGUGCUCUCUGAGGUCAUCUCCCUUCAAUUCUCACACAUCUGUCUUACGUGGAGGUGCCCUUCCCUAGACCCCCAAGACAGUCCAGAAACCAUCCCAUAUGCCAGGAUCAGGUCAGAAGAGGGGAAGGCACGGCCUUCAUGGGCAAAGUCACCUUGUCUACUGCUAGGUAAGGGUGUGGCGGGGGGCAAGGAAGUAAACAUUGUUGAAUAAACAUUGCUUAAUUUUGUAAAUUGGGUAUUACGAUGCUUUUUCCAGAAAAGGGCAAUGUUUUGUCAACAGCUUGGCAUUUCUGUAACAGCAGCUGUGCUAAGUGGCUUAACACAAGCCCUGUAUGAGGCUGGAGGUCUGGGGGCUCAUCUUGGUGAGCAGGCUCAUUUCUCCAUCAGGAGUCCUGGGUAGGACCAUAGCAUCGGCUUAAUCUCAGGUAGGUUCCUACUUAUCCCAUGCCCCUACUUCCCAGCAUCCUCUGGGCUUCUCCACUCCAGGCAGUGCUCUAGGAGGAGGCCAUAGUGUAGCGAAAGGGGGCACUGGACCUGGACUCAGAAGACCUGCACGUGACCAUGGCCCCGUAUAACUGUGCUCUUUGUUCCAGCCUUCUGGCCCAGGCCCUUAUCUGUAACACCUGAGGGAUGUCUCCCUCAUUCAGCCUGACUUGGGGCUGCUGCAAGAAUGAAAAUGAGAAAGUCCUCUGUGACUUGCCAAGCAUAAAACAGAUACACCUAUUUUGGAAAUAGUAGUGUAUGCAGAGCCCAAGGAGGAAGGUACCACAGGUAGAGUUAGGGAAACCUGAUAUGGGGAAAUGCAAUCUCGCCAUACAAAUCAGGUGAUUUACGAAAGGAUCCAAUUCAUCCCCUUGGCGCAUUUAAUCAUCCCGGACCUGAAGAAAGGACUCUCAAGAUGGGGGAGGGGAAGCAGAAAAACAAGGAUAUUAAAUCUCAUGGGGGACAACGUGAGAAAAUCAUUUAAAUGAAAGGUGGAGCAAUUUUACAUUAUACAAAAGGAGGAACUUCCUGCCUACCAUUAAAGCACCUGGAUAGCUGACUUGGGAAAGCAAACAAAUCUUAUCCUGGAGACCUUGAGGGGAGACCAGUACUGUAGGCUUAGACCUGCACCUGUAGGUGUUAGACCAAAGCUCAUGAGCAUCUUUCCCCAGGAUUCUGAAAUGAGACAGGGAUAUGCCUGCGAUUGCCUGGUACAUGCGGGUCUGCCCAGAUGCGGUCAGAGGGUGCUGGCUGAGUGUGGAAUGAGUCUCUAAGGGGGACCUCAUUAUAGGUCUAGGGAAAAUACAGAGGCAUAGUUAGGUAUGUUAUUGCUGUACCGUCUGUAUGUGAUGUCCCUGAACCUUAGGCAUAAAGCUAGAGCCUACAGUCAUAAAGGCAGCACCCCUCAGAGGGGAAGCCCAGCUCUGAGGUCUGGAAACAAGAUUAUUACUUAUCUAGAGAAAGUGAAUGGUGACGAAAAUCCCUCGCACACUACCUCAGCCCACAUGUCUGGGGAAGCUAGGGAUCCUCUGAGUUCCAGCCUCCUGCUUUGGAGGGUCUCACAUUUCCCCAGAGGGCAGGGCCAGCCCUCAGGACAAUUUCAAUCAUUUGCUUUGUGAGUCAUCAGACGCUGCCAGGUUUCUUUAAAGGUGGGGGACCCUGGUUGCCCCUGGAACACAUCUAGGAAAAAACCUCUUCCCUCCUUGGUCAGCCCGUGCUGUGCAGGGCAAGGCAUAACCGAGAGUGAGCCACUGCCCUACUCCCUUCAGAAGGCAAAGCGCUGCCAAACAAAAGCAGCUCCACUGUGUUAUUUCUGCGCCAAGGGGAAGGGAGUCUGCGCUGACUGGUGUGUCCCAGCCUUUGCUCCGGGCCCCUAGCUCCCAACAGAGUGGAGGACUGAGUGCAGGGAGGUCACACGCCUAUGCGACAGUCUUUGAGGGUCGUGGCUGUGUGAAUCUCUCCUGCUGGGUUUUAGGGAGCUUUGUUUGUUUUAGAGAAAUUAAAGAGACUAAUUAAAGUUCUUGUCUCCUCCAACACUCACCUCUACUCUCAUCUUCUCUGAAUCAUGCUUCUGCGUCUGCCUUGGCCAGAAUCCCACAGGGACAGGACUGUCUGGCCAUUAGCAAUGAACUCCUCAAGGCAGGCUAUAUGGAGAUGCCAGGUUCUGUUGGUUCUCUUGGGGCCCUCUGUCCCCAACGACGGCACCUUCUCUACAGCAAGAGUCACCUUUCUCUCUUCCCCGACAGCCUUGCACACUCAGGGGACGCUGCUGAGUCUACAGUGCCAGCUGGCUGUGCACAGAGAUGGCAGGAGUCCCUUUCAGCAUCAGCCUCUCCUUCCACAGUGCUCUGAGGAACGACCACUGGGAAGCCCAGGGCUUACUUAGGGAACAGUCGGGGAACUCACUCUGCAUCCUCCUUACUGUGUCCUCUGAAGGUCGAUGGGCAAAUGGGAAAGGUCAGUGUAGACAGAUAAACCUGCUUCUGAUUCCAGGAGGACACUCAGUGGAGCAGAACAAGGCAGACUCUGCCUGGGUAGCAGGUUUCAGGGAUCUCUGGCUCACACGUUGCUUCUAGAGCUUAGGCUUAUGGAAAGAGCGACUGCUAGAGCAGGCCAGCAAUCUGUCCAGCCUGGGGAAAUGGUACGACAUGCUGAAUUAAAAACACAUCUGGUCAGGAACCCAGAUGCAGGGACAAUCGGAUUUUAUGCACAACGUAGGUAUUUAAAGCUCUGGUGAAAUUUAGGCAAAUUCAGAAGAGAAGGGCAGAGGACAUUCAAAUGGAUGGAGGGUUAAGAGUACAAGGUGCUUUUUCUUUUCAUUGUCUCCAUACGUGAACAGGUAUAUUACAGAGAACAAACUCAUUCCAAGCUCAACGUACCAGAGAGACCCAGCGCAUCUUCAGCACUGCAUGGGAACUGUGAUGAGCAUUCGCUCACUCACUAGCUGCCAGGACAGUCGAGUCCCGGGAUGUUCCAAGCAUCGGUUCCAAUGGUACCAGUCUUAGAAGACUGCAGUUUCUCUCAAACUUGACCCUGCCCCAGGCCCCCAUGGUUGGUGCUGAUGCCUGCUGAUGAAUGCUGGUGUGUCUCAGGUAGGGAAUGGGUGGGCUGGAGAACCCCAGCUUGUGACUAAUGGUUUCGGACGACGGUCUUCAUUUCACACUUGCCCAAACCUUCGAGAGAUAAACUUCACUACUGGCCAGUGAUAUCCACGCCCUGUACACCCCAGGACUAUGUUAGUGGUAACUGGGAAUUCUCAGUACCAUUGAGACCAAUGGGAGAACUGUCCAAAAUGGACCCAUCUGAAGACGACUUUGUGGCCAGGACACUGCACUUCAUGUUGAGAUACAAUCUUCUCUUUCCAGCUUGGUGCUUUUGUAACCAGUCUUGAUCAGGGUCUGAGUGUGCUUACGCAGGACCAGGCUGAGAGGGCUCUGGGGGGGCUGGUUGGAAAGGUGGGUGAAGGGAAGAUGGUAAUGAGUGGCCGAUGGCCUUCUGCUCAGGAUGCUAUCCUGGGGGUGCAGCAGCUGUGAGUGGGCCUGAUAGCCAAACAAGUUUUUGUCACGAGGACAAAGACAUUUUUUGCUCUGUGGUCAGGUUCCCAUUUUUCUUCAAACCCUCAGGGACCAAGCUUAUUUGUAAGUUUCUAAGGGAAAGGGACAGGGGUUCUGGGAAGGGAGAGGCCAUGACUCUAGUCAUGGAAGCAACUCCUUCUCUCUUGAGCAGUUCGGUGGCUGGAAGACAACCACAGUUCAAUCCUGAGAAUGUCCCUUGCAUUUAACCUGGUGGCUGGUUUUGUCCUUGAGGCACAUUUAUCCCUCUAACUUUUCAAAAAAAGAAACCAGGCUGAUGUGAUGGCACAUGCCCGUAAUCCCAGCUACUCAGAAGGCUGAGGCAGGAGGAUGGCAGGUUGAAAGUCCGCCUGGGAAACGUAGUGAGACUUUGUCUCAAAAAGGCGGGUAAGGGGAGCUGAAGGUAUAGCUCAGUGGUACAGUACUUGCCUAGCGUGCAAGAGGUGCUGGUUUUGAUUCCUAGUAUGGCCAAAAAACAAAAACCAAAAAAACAGUGUGGCUUUUCCCUACGCGUUCCCAGCCACCUUCUUGUUCUGCUGCACUGCUGUGUGCCUGCUGGUUACUUCCCGCCCUGCAGGGCACCACCCAGCUAGCAGGGUCAGAUCCUUGCUUGUGUCUUUUAAAUGAUUCCACUUCCUAUGGGACCAGCGUAUAAUUUCCGCACUACAAACUCGUUAAAACACUAUGAAAUGCAAGACCACAGGUUUAAAAGGUGGCCUCAUGUGCUAUUCUCAGUCAAGAGGAAAAGCUAUGUAAGAAUCAGGCAUCACCCUGUCCCUGUCACGGAAUGUGGGCAGCGGGAUGCCACUUACUAGCGGGGAGGAAGACAGGUGAAAGGGAAUGAAGCAAGAGGUACAAAGUUCUGGAAGCGGUGGCUUUGGAGGGUGCCGGGCUGGGAAGGCAUCGCAGACCAGCUCAGCUGCUGAGCAUUGCCCAGGGCAGGUAUUUAACCCCAUCCAUGUUCAUGCACCCAGCAACGUAGAAGAGGGUCUUUAUGACUCCUGUGUUACAGCUGAGGAAACGAAGGGUCCGGGCAGCUAGGGAAGGUGUCCAGUGUCACUGAGAGUCCCAGAGAGUGCUGAGCCCAGUUCCAGCGUGAAGGCACAUAUAUUACACAGCCCCGCUGUUCUUCCCUGAUUCAUAGACAAGGUUUCCUUUGUGUAGCUGGGUCUUUCUUUGCUCAAAAGAAAUAGCAAAUUCGAGGAUAAGGAAUCUACUCUCUAACCUUGGAAUGGAAACUGCCCAGGUCUUGGACCCUGUUCCCCUCCUUUCCCAACAAGAAAAUCUGCUGGUGCAGGUAUUUCCCCCACAGACUGGGGGCUCCUGAGGUUGGGUGGUAUCUGCCACUUGAGAUAGAGGACUUUGUCUCCCCAGAGGACUAGGACGCCCCCCUGUCCCCUUCCCCCCAGUUGUGUCACAUUUCAAAAAAAAAGGAGCCUUGCAGCACAAGGCAGGCAGACAGUUGGUAUUAGUGGAAGAGGGCACUGCCAGAGAAAACCAUGCAUGCCCUGGCCAAGUCUGGGCCCUUAUUGGACACCCCCACCCAAGGUGCUGGACCCAAUGGGGUACCCAGUGGGCGAAGCUCAGUCUCAGAAGACCACUCCACUCUGCAGAGGACGAGCUUACGGGUACUAGGACACCCGAGGGCUGACUGGCAUUUAGUGCCCGGUCACAUCUAACAGCAACGCGCUGCCAGCUGGGGGCUGGGAUGCAGGGGGUCCCCAGGGGGUGGCCCCUAGAGGACCUGUACAAAAGGCUUUCCACUUGAGCAGCCUGUCUUUAAUGAUUAUAAAGGCACAGGAGUUUAAUCCAUUUUUGAUGUAAGCGCUAAUAGCUCUGUGUCCUUGAAGUUCAAAGCGGGUGCAUACAUGUCACUAAUUAGCCAAGCACGGAGCUAUUCAGCUCCCUCUCAUGUUCCUAAUUAGGUCUUUAAUAACAAACAAACUCUGACCUUACCAAAAGGCCCCCAUUCGUCAGACAGUCAAGGAAAGUGGCUGCUGGCCUGUUUACGGUUGCUGCCCACUUGUGCUAUGUGUACAGGUUCCUAAUCUCAGCCACGACAGGGUUGUCCUCGAGGGAGGCAGGAGAGUCACUCCAUGAGGACAAAGACCCCCUUCAUCUCAUCUGGAAUGCUCGUCUUCCUUGUCCUGCUGGGAAAGACAGCCGAGACCUUUCGGCUUCCAACUGCAGGACAGCAGUCACAGACCCAGGCUGGAAACCUCACCUGGCUUUUGGUAGCGGAGGCUGGGAUGCCAUCGACGGUCACAGAUGGUGUGAAGCUCUAUAUGCAGCAAGAACAGAACAGCACUUAAGCCUAUGGUUACAUAUUGGACUUGCUUGAGGCCCAUCUUGCCAGGUUCUGAUUUGAUGGGUUUGCAGGGUUUAAACACUCCUCAGGUGAUUCUAACAUGCAGCAAAGUUCACAGGUACUGCAUUGACCCCAAUCUCAUCAGCAGCUAUUAACAGGUCCACUGUUACUAAUGAAUAGUAUCCACAAACAGCCAAAUCCUUCAAUCAUCCACACUGAAGAAUGGGAAUCUGAUGACAGAUUGUACAAACGAUAAACAAUUCCGGAAAUACUUCAUGCCCCCUACUGCUUCAUGCAUUAAGCACUGAAUAACUGACUGGCUUCAAAUGUAUCCCCACCAAGUUUUUUUACCACUUGGAAGUGCCUGGCUUUCUCUCCACUUGCUCCUCUCUCUCAGCUCUUAAGCCACUGUCAUUGUCACUGCUUCAAGCUCCAAGGACAAGAGAUCAAGAGCUUUGGAAACAGCAGCUAUACAGAGCUGUGAACUUCAAUGGUCCCCCUAGACCCUCUAGUCUGAAGUUCUCUUUUGGUAGAGAAGGAAGCAGGCCUGGAACCAAGUCUUCUAAUUACUGACUCAUUCUCCUAUGCACUUAUGCUGCCUCUGUUUUUUUAAAGAGCAUUUUCUUAUCCUUAUUAGAUUAAGCCACAAGGCAUUCUCAUAGGGAAAAGGAUAGAAGAAAAGCCUCUCAGCUCUUUUGGCCUUGAAGGCCCGGAUGUGGGAGUGGAGGCCAUCCCUGAGCAUAGUAUCCCCCAUCAUUUCUAAGCCUGAACUAAAUGUCCUCUUCAAGACACGCAGAAGAGAGGCACUGAAAUCUUGGCAGGGGAGCUAUUUCAGCGGAAGGUUAAGACUGUAUACAGAAAAACAUGGUCAAGGACACAUGGCAAAGCUGGACUAAGGGUGUCCUCCAACACUGGUCCAUUUGUCUGGUUUUGCUACUGUGCUUCAGGUCUUCAGUGUAUCCUGAAUCCCGCGUGUGUCUGAUCUGAGUUCUCCCCAAGGCCAGGAAAGCUAUCCUCUCCAGGUUACAGUCAGGAAAACUUCCAGAAAGAGGAGAAAGCCAGGCUGGGAAGUAGGGCUGGGCUGCUUUCCCUAACUACAUCGGCCUCUAUCACAGGAGCCCAGGUUUGCCUUGUUUAUCACAGACCUGGACAGACCAUUUUAUUAAUAUUAAUAAGUAGCUAGAACAAAGGGCCCCUUUUAUUUUUAGCUUUCUCUAAUUGUGUAGUAAUUACUCAUCUACAAAACAAAUGAGCCUCUGCUCACAGUUGCCAUGGUUCCAGGAACCCAGCCUUCCUGCAGGAUGAUUGGAUGAGGAGCUCACUGCUCUAGCCUGUGGACCCACCCCUCCCUCUGCCAUUGGUCCAAAGCAAAGCCCCAGCAACUAGGCAGCCAAUCCCCUUCCAGUGCUAGGGCUGAGCUUUGUUUCCCAGCAACCUUUCAGAUGCAGUUCUGGCAGCUCACAGGAAGGGAUGUUGACUCCUCCCCAAGGAGCAAGCCUGUCUUUGCAGAAGCCCUCCCUUGCUCCAUUUCCUAGUUUCUUUUGGGCAGUGGCUAACUUCCUUUGAUCCUGUUUUAGCAAAAGUUUCCCUUCAAAUAAUUCAUUUUGGAUCAAAACCCUUACAGGCUACUAUCCUCUCUAAGCCAGUUUCUAAAUCUUCAAAACGGGAACCCGAAUGAUAGCACCCACUUCACAGGGUUAUUGAGAAUUAAAUGGGAUAAUGCAGGUCAGCUUGGUACAGUAUUUGGCUCGCUCAUAGCACAUGAGUUACUAUUGAUGUAUUACUAUUAUCAUGAGUUUAUUAAAAUUGGCUGGGAAGUGUCUCUAGCAUUCUGUCAACCACUCUCAAGAUAACUUGCCCUGAAGGGACCUUCCAGGUGAGUGAAUUUUGAGAUGCUGGCUGGAGGCCUUCUAUCCCAUGCCAUGGAGUAGAAUUCACUGUUGCAUCUUCUGACAGACCUAAUCCCAACAGCCAAUCACAACUACUCAAAAAGUACUAUUUGCUUGCCUCUUCUUCUGCAAGAUCCCAAGCUAGAAAGGAGAGACUUUUUAAUAUUAAUAAGCAUCCAGGAACAAAGGGCCCUUUUAUUUUCUGUGUUCUCCAACUGCGUAGUAAUUAUUCAUCUGCACGAAGAAUGAGAACCAGGCUGACUUUACCUCCUGAAGGACUAACGGUUUGUAGUGUUGGGGAAAGCUGGUGCCACCCAGAAAUAAAUGUAAAGUGUCUUCCAAGGACUUAUAGCCCCAAGGACAGGGUGCCCCAGGUAGAGUUAAGCAGGUGUGACUUCCUCAGUCUGAGCUAGAUUUAAGGGAGGAAGCAAAGACAAGGGCGGAGGGGAAGAGACGGGCAGAAAGGAUGAGGUCAGUGGUUGCCAUGAGGGCAAAGGACUCGGAACCAACAGCCCCCCACAGGGAAUGACUAACAACUUGUCGGCAGAAGCAAAGGACAGGCCGUGGAAAACCAAGCUGCAGCCCCAUGGUGGAAUGCUCUUCUGUGCCUGUCUUCUUGCUGCCUCGUUCCUUGUUCUAGGUCAUAAACGUGGCUUCAGAUCCUUGGUUCAAGGAGGUCAAGCUGUCUUCUCCGGGACUGAUACCCAGGUCACCUUCCUCAGGUGGUUCGGUCCACCCCAGGUUCUGCUGCCGUACAGAAUACGAACCUCCUUCUCUUGCCAAUACGGCUCUAUCCACCUAACUUUCAAGGUCUCCUGGAAGCUUGCUAUCUCUCCUGCCUCUUCAAGUCCCCAGAACAACGUGGAGGCCAGAGUUACUAUCAAUGGGGAAGAGCAAAAGACCUGCCGCUUACUUUGCACCUAUACCUUACCAUGUAUGCAGUGUCUAUAAUGUAUGCGCAGUAUUUGCAAUUUGUUCACCUGCCUCUAAUCUUGCCUCUCCAUGGUGGACACUGUUGCCAAGUGCAAGUCACACAGAGGAUACUGAAAUGAGAAGGAGGAUAAAGCUAAGAGAACUACAGAGAAGCAGCCCCACACGAACUACAUGUGAAGCCUCUCUUCUAUAAAGCUUCCAGGAUGUUAGCCAAUAAAUCCCCUCUAAUACUGAACCAUGCUACGCUGGGUUUUCGGGUACAGUCCAAGGCACCCUUGAACCAGGCUUAGGAAAGUACUUGCCACACGUAAUAAUUACUAUUGUUAUAUACUGGUAAAUACCUGCUGCAUUAAACUCCACGGUGGACGUAUUCUGGGAAAUCAGCAGCUGGAAGCCUAAACCGUGAGGUCUUGGGCGAGAGCUGGGUUGAGACAGAGUUAGAACCUGAGGCUGCUCCAGUGCCCUGGCAUUUGUGCUUGUGCCCGGUGUCUGGGCGCCAGAUGAGUCCUUCAUGAACAGACAUGGCUUCUCCACAGGGCUGCUCUGAGGAGGCCAAAUACCUGGGCUUAAAUUCAGGGCUCUUCACCUCUGACCAAAGCUUGGCUCCUCUGGUAACCAUGCGUGUGUCUCUGGGGAAGUCACAUAACCAUUCUGCAGCCUACCUGUCUCAUGAAAACAAACGUGUAAACCAAUCCCAAAACGGCUGCCUUCCUGUCUUAUCUCAGGGCUUAGUUGUGGCAGUGGAUAUGACAGUAUGUGUAUGAUCAUCAAACUUUGCAGAAAUAAUGACACACUCAGGCACGCAUUCCUUUGAUGGCCCUCAUCAUCCCCAGGGGGUCUGCCUAGCUUUCAAGGCUUCCCAGACUGCACAGUGCCUCACCCAGGACACGGUGCAAGGACCACGUCUCUUGGCUCCUCCACACUCCACUGCCACACGCCCUGCCCCAUCUAGAAGCAGAACCUGGACUCCUGAGCCGAUGCAAGAUCGAGGGCCAGUCAGCUCAGGGGGCAGGCAGGGAUGUGUGUCACCCACCGAACAUCAUUCCACUGAUUUAAAAGACCAUUAACACCACCACCCCCAACUCCACUCACUUGAGGAUUAACUUAUACUUAGGGUUUGGUCUUCACGGCUAGUCACUAAUUGCACUAGAGUUGAUUUAUCAAGUGCAUGGUAUUUCUAUUAUAAAAUUAUUGAUUAGAGCUGAUGUAUUUUUAUCCUCAACAGGGUUGGUCUGAAAGCUCUUGGAAAAUGAAUGAAGCUGAGGUCAGCAGCAGCAGGCAGCUGUGCACAUCAGUAUAAAUUCACUGGGGUUACUGAAAUCCAGGGCUGGACUCCGUGGUGAAAGUCCCAAAUCUUUCGGAAGUGAAAAUUUUAACGACAAAUUGGGAAAUAAGGUGUCCACCUCUAGAACACAGACCGUGGAUAGAAAGAUGUCCACUCAGCAGAAGCACUAAAAGUCCUUCAGUCCUAUCAUCAAGCCGGGACAUUUAUGCAAGAUGAUGACAACAGCUGUCAGAGGAGCCCAGCCGUUCCUGAGGGAAGCUGACCACCUGUUAGCCCACUAAGUACGAGGCCAGGACAUUUUGUGCAGGAUGAUGGUGCCAGAUACACAACACCCUCGAGGACAAAUUGACCAUGACCACCAGGUAGUGCAAAUUCAUCACAAAUCAGAGCAUCUUCUGAAACCGUACUGUGGUUAAUGGAAAUUACCAGACUUUAGUCCACCCAGACAAAUCAAUAAAAACCAGUUGCUCUUUUUGUUCUGGGGGCAGCAGCAUGACCACAUUCUCGACAACUACUUGCUCCCUUCAGCCAAAGCCCCAAUUUGGCUGAAGCUUCCUUUCCUACCAAUAAGCCUUUGCUUCUGAGGUAUUGUGUAUGUGUGCCACAUCUGGCCCAGUCUCGUUUCUACCUUCCUUGGGUCAAAGAUCCCAUCACCCAGUAUCCAUUGACAUGGGUGUCAACCAGAUACAUGACCAUGUAUCAUGAGAAAUACGGACUUUCAGGACACAGGAAGAGAUUUCCUGACCCCUGGAGGCAAGGGAGUUAUCUGCAUCCAUGUUGCUUGGUACCUGGAAUAGCACACCCUCAAUAAAUGCUGCUGAAAGUAA
Long non-coding RNA from Chinchilla lanigera (long-tailed chinchilla), 13386 nucleotides. RefSeq lists it as uncharacterized. The transcript has 2 exons. NCBI's taxonomy places the organism in Eukaryota, Metazoa, Chordata, Mammalia, Rodentia, Chinchillidae. The record is from RefSeq and is a predicted model, not a curated record.